CCCGGCCCACUUUUAAUUUUUUUAGCUUUUAAAUGUUUUGUAGAGACGGGUGUCUCACUGUGUUGCUCAGGCUGGUCUCAAAUUCCUGGGCUCAAGUGAUCCUCCCACCUCGGGUUCCCAAAGUGCUGGGAUGACAGGCGUGAGCCCCAGGCCCAGCUGAGUUUGCCACUUUCUAAAUGAGGCUGUGUGCUGUGCAGUAUUAAGAGUUUCCAUCCCUUUGAUUUUUCACUGGGAAAAUCUAGAAAUUGUGAGCUCUGGGGAUGAGGUGAACUUGGCAUGGAGCUCCGCCAGCCCCUACAGGAGGCACCCAGAUGCCAGACUCUGCUUCCCAUGCCUGUGCAGACACAAAGCUGUGGUUCACGGGGAGCUGCUUUUCACGCGUUUGCGCCUUCAAACGUGGGGAGUGUUGUUAGCUCGGAUUUAUUCAUUCUCGAACAAAUAUCUAUUAAACAUCCCCCAAGCUGAGGAAACUGAGAUUCAAGGAGUUGGGAGACCUCACCCACAGUCACGUGGAUCCUAACUGGCUGAGAUGAGUUUUGGGCUCCUGCUGGGCUGUUGGGACCCAGAGGUCCGCGACAAGGUCAUCCAGGUCUCAGGUUGGUCCCUGUACCUUUAUCUCAUCCCCCUCCUCUGCAUUCCCGAAACCCUUCCCAGGACAGCUCCCCUGCCCACCCCGCCCUUGCCCUCACCUUUUCCAUGAGGGACUCCACAGCAUGGCGGGUCACCCAGCAGCGGCCCCCGGACACCUCUCCCUCCUGGAUGAUGUCCCCUCUCUGGCUCCAGGCCUCAUACUCCUCCUGGCUCAAGUACUCUGCAGGUGACAUUGGACGGGGCCAUCAUAUACCAGCUGUGUGGGGGUCUGGGGGAGUCCCAUGGUAAACACCCCUGUCCCCGUGAACCCCGCCAGCACUGGGAGGAGCUCUUCUUAGGGUGUCCACUUUACAAACCUGACCCUGCACGCCCCGCUCUGUGCCCUGCACCUCCAUCCUGAACUAUCUGGACACAGCAGGUGAGUGUGGGAAUGUGCGUGGUGGGGGAGGGAAGGAGGAGGGAGGAAGGGGAGGAGGGAGGGAGGGAAGGUGGGAGGGGUAGAGGGAUUCCCAGGCAACAGCAUACCUGCCAGGCACUUCUUAAACCCUUGGAGGAGGCACAGUUUCUCCCUCAGGAUCUUCCCAACCGCCCUGGGCACGAAGAGCACAGGCCGGGGCCGGGCGGGUCGAUGGGGCCGCACCAGGGUAUAGGGCACCAGGGUGAGGCAGCUCUCGGCCCAGAAGCACGUGCUGGAGCCUGUGGAGGAGAGGAUCCUGAGGGCUGGAGUGCAAUGGCGACACCUCAGCUCACUGCCACUUCUGCCUCCCGGGUUCAGGCGAUUUUCCUGCCUCAGCCUCCCGAGUAUCUGGGAUUACAGGUGUGCGCCACCACACCCAGCCCCAUGAUUCUUGAAGACCAGAUCCUGGCCUAAAUGAGUGGCAUCCCCCUGCCCCAGCUGACCAACUAGCAGCAGCUCCCAAAGCCCCUCACCCGCUUGGAGCCAGCGGCCCCUGUGCCAGCUCACCAGGCCUCACCCUCCAUCCUGCUGGGGUCCAACUGGCCCCUGUCAAAGGACAAACGCAGAGGGCUGGCCUUGGCUUUGUCCAUACUGACGAUGCGGACCAGCUUCUGUGGUCCCCCAGAAGAUGGCUAAAGGAGGGACGGAGAAAGGAUGAGGAGGAGCUGUUGAAGCCAUCAACAGGAAUGGGAAUUCAGGGGAGAUGAUUGGCACUAGGGCGACCUGGGAGUGAUGCAGAGGCGCAGAUGCUCUGAGAACAGCCUGAGGUGUGUCUGCACUUGUGCAAGAGCCUGCAGGCUGGGCAGGGGCUGCAGACCCUGCCCUGGUUUGAAGGGGCGCAGAGGAGAGACAGGUGGGGUUACCGUCCAAUCAGCAGCCCACUCUCCACACAGUGCCUCCUGCCACCCUGCCAGCACCGAGCCCCUCUUCCAGCCCACCCCAGUGGGGUCCAGGCCCCUCCCUGGAGCCUCACCUUGCGGGUCACGGUGCACUGCUGAGUCAUGUCCUGGAUGAGGGCUAUGAGCUGCUGCUGAGCCCUGCAGAGACCAGCAGAGGCCCUGACCCAGCUGCCUCCUGCCAGACAGGCAGCAGAAGCCGUCCACCCUCCUGAGAAGCCCCACGGCCUCCUCCAGGGUCGUGUCCUCCAGGACUGCCUUGAACAAGGGCUCUGAGGCUUCGUAAUCAACCUGAGGGCAAGUCGAGAAGGUCAGUCUCUUUCUCCCGGGACUCUGAAUCCAGCCAGAAGGCAGAGGGCGCUGAGGGCACUGAGGCGAAGCGCGGGCCAGCCCUGCAGUAGGACCACUGCCUGCACGCCUUGGUCAAAACAAAGUCACACACGAGAGCCUCUGUGGGGCCUUCACACCUCUAGUGAUGCGUGCUACACAUGGUGCUGG
This 2442-nucleotide long non-coding RNA is filed under the name Pan troglodytes (chimpanzee). RNAcentral's name for it is "long non-coding RNA NONPTRT007369". The record is from RNAcentral. Lineage: Eukaryota; Metazoa; Chordata; Mammalia; Primates; Hominidae.